UACAGAGGUCUCAAGCGUUGUUCGGAUUCAUUGGGCGUAAAGGGUGCGUAGGUGGCGUGGUAAGUCGGGUGUGAAAUUUCGGAGCUUAACUCCGAAACUGCAUUCGAUACUGCCGUGCUUGAGGACUGGAGAGGAGACUGGAAUUUACGGUGUAGCAGUGAAAUGCGUAGAGAUCGUAAGGAAGACCAGUGGCGAAGGCGGGUCUCUGGACAGUUCCUGACACUGAGACACGAAGGCCAGGGGAGCAAACGGG
This 253-nucleotide ribosomal RNA is filed under the name uncultured bacterium. RNAcentral's name for it is "partial 16S ribosomal RNA". It matches the Rfam family "Bacterial small subunit ribosomal RNA", at positions 524 to 776 of the family's 1533-position model. The record is from RNAcentral.